CUUUGUUUCUCAGAUAUAAACGAACAAAACUCUCUCUUCUCAUAACUUUCGAUUUUUUUCUUUCUACGACUUUUCAUCUUCUUCUUCUUCAAUAUCAAAUUGUCAUCUGAUUUUUCCACUUCUCUGAGUUUUUCUGCAUGCAAUGAUGGAUUCAUCAUGCAGUCAGUUCUACUAUGGUUUAAUCCUCCGACUGCUCCGCCUCCGUCCGUCAUGGCCAGCAAAAAAUUUGAGACGAGUUCCAAAGUCAAGACCUCCGUCUGAUCCGCUUGCCUCCUCCGUAGUAGGCAAAACCGCUAGAUCUAGUUCCAGAGUUCUUAUAUCCAACAAUUGAUAAGCAAAAUUGUAGGUCUGCAGAUCCGGUGGACCAGAUCCAGUCGACCAGGUCUGCAAAUCCGGUGUCCGGUGGACCAUAUCCAGCCAACCAGAUUUUUGUCCACCACUAUCAAACUUGUCUACAUUGCAUGAUCCGGUGUCUGGUGGACCAGAUCCAGCAUACCAGGCUUUUGUCCACCACUAUCAUGUCCUUCUUUCUCUUGAAUUGGACCAUAUCCGUUUGGUCAUGUGUUUUGUGUCCAUUACUAACAAAAAACUUGUCCACACUGCAUGUCUGCAAAUCCAGUGGACCACAUCCUGUAGCCAAGGUUUUUGUCCACCACUAUUAUGUCCUUUAACUCUUGAGUGGACCACACUCAAGGUUUGGUCUGACGAUUUAUGUCCACUGCUAACAAAAAAAAAAUGUCCACACUACUACAAUUUGUAUAUUGAAAGAGAAAUGUGUUUCAGAUGA
Camelina sativa (false flax) is the source of this 787-nucleotide long non-coding RNA. RefSeq lists it as uncharacterized. Lineage: Eukaryota; Viridiplantae; Streptophyta; Magnoliopsida; Brassicales; Brassicaceae. The record is from RefSeq and is a predicted model, not a curated record.